Molecule: ribosomal RNA, 25 nt
Filed under: uncultured fungus
Lineage: Eukaryota; Fungi
Description: partial 18S ribosomal RNA
Source: RNAcentral
UAGGUGACCUGCGGAGGGAUCAUUC